RNAcentral lists this ribosomal RNA (401 nucleotides) under uncultured bacterium. Its description in RNAcentral is "bacterial SSU rRNA". It matches the Rfam family "Bacterial small subunit ribosomal RNA", at positions 355 to 773 of the family's 1533-position model. The record is from RNAcentral.
UGGGGAAUAUUGGACAAUGGGCGAAAGCCUGAUCCAGCAAUGCCGCGUGAGUGAUGAAGGCCUUAGGGUUGUAAAGCUCUUUUACCCGGGAUGAUAAUGACAGUACCGGGAGAAUAAGCCCCGGCUAACUCCGUGCCAGCAGCCGCGGUAAUACGGAGGGGGCUAGCGUUGUUCGGAAUUACUGGGCGUAAAGCGCACGUAGGCGGCUUUGUAAGUUAGAGGUGAAAGCCCAGAGCUCAACUCUGGAAUUGCCUUUAAGACUGCAUCGCUAGAAUUGUGGAGAGGUAAGUGGAAUUCCGAGUGUAGAGGUGAAAUUCGUAGAGAUCGGGAGGAACAUCUGUGGCGAAGGCGGCCAUCUGGACCAGCACUGACACUGAGGCACGAAAGCGUGGGGAGCAAAC